This 440-nucleotide ribosomal RNA is filed under the name uncultured bacterium. RNAcentral describes it as "partial 16S ribosomal RNA". It matches the Rfam family "Bacterial small subunit ribosomal RNA", at positions 338 to 795 of the family's 1533-position model. The record is from RNAcentral.
CCUACGGGUGGCAGCAGUGGGGAAUAUUGGUCAAUGGAGGAAACUCUGACCCAGCAAUGCCGCGUGGGUGAAGAAGGUUUUCGAAUUGUAAAGCUCUUUCGGAUGUGAAGAUAAUGACGGUAACAUCUAAAGAAGCACCGGCCAACUUCGUGCCAGCAGCCGCGGUAAUACGAAGGGGGCAAGCGUUGUUCGGAAUUACUGGGCGUAAAGGGUGUGUAGGCGGGAAAGUAAGAUAGUGGUGAAAUGCCUGAGCUAAACUUGGGAACUGCAAUUAUAACUAUUUUUCUAGAGUGACAGAGAGGAUAGUGGAAUACCUAGUGUAGAGGUGAAAUUCGUAGAUAUGGGGUAGAAAACCGGAGGCGAAGGCGAGCAGCUGGCUGUCAACUGACGCUGAGGCACGAAAGCAUGGGGAUCAAACAGGAUUAGAUACCCCAGUAGUC